This 559-nucleotide long non-coding RNA is filed under the name Falco tinnunculus (common kestrel). RNAcentral's name for it is "lncRNA (ENSFTIG00000013877.1)". The record is from RNAcentral. Lineage: Eukaryota; Metazoa; Chordata; Aves; Falconiformes; Falconidae.
UAAAAGAAGAUUGUGUAUUUUGUAUUUAUUUUUUUAGGAAACUCAGAGAUUUCUACCUUCAUGAAAGGCCCAUGUAUUCUCCUAGAGAGCCUGAAGUCUCCACUAAACCCAUUCUUCUGUUUAGAGGCUUAAAGCCCUGAAGUUGGUGUCUCUGCUUAGAAGAACAAGUGUGAUUCUGUCACCCUUCUUGGGGCAGGAGACCUUUAAGUGUGUUUUGUACAACCCCACACACAUCAGGUAGGCAGGGACCUACUGGACCAUCUGUGGGUUCCCUGUGUGCACAGGUCAUAAGUUCUCACAUUGUUUCCAGGUGCCUGCAGUUCCAAGGCAUUGGUUUGGAUGGCAGGUUGCAGUUUCCUUUUCUGCAUAGAAUGCAGAUGAAGCUUUUGCUGUGUCUUAACAGGCAUCAGAUGCUGCAACUUGAGAGCCUAACUACUUCUUCGCUUUACUGUAUAGAAUGAUCAGCCUUCACCUUUGCUUGGCCUCCAGUAGCACAGCAACAUUACUCCUCUAGGCAUCAAAAAGGUAAUUAAUGCCCUUCAACCUCUUAAUGCUUUUU